This 2090-nucleotide long non-coding RNA is filed under the name Citrus x clementina. Its description in RNAcentral is "Citrus clementina (C. clementina) long non-coding RNA (CCLE_LNC005244)". The record is from RNAcentral. Lineage: Eukaryota; Viridiplantae; Streptophyta; Magnoliopsida; Sapindales; Rutaceae.
UAUAAGCUAAUUAUUAACUAGAGAGAUGUCUAAUAGGUUUUAUGACCAUGCAUAAUUUUUUUUAAAAAUCUUUAUUAAUUAGAGAAUUAUUAAUGAAAUACUCAAAAUAUGAGGUCUUCCUAAAAUUUGGGACCUUAGGCGAUUUACUUUAUUCACCUAUAUUUAAAGUCACCUCUGGAUGAAUCUCAAUAUUUUGAGGUGGAUUUUGAAUAAAUAAUCACUUUGUUCUAAGGUCAUCGAUAGCACCAUGAUGCAGAUCGGCUUACGACGAAUCUAAUGAUGCCGACGGUGGCGUCUCAAACAAUAUUGAUGUGGUGGACUGGUGGAGCUAAGUGACUACUAGCAUUGCUGUUAUAUUUCUUUUUUUUUUUCUUUUUUCAAAAUUUUAAGUUAUAUUAUUACUUGCAAAAAAUUAAAAAUGAUAAUUAAUCAAUAACAAUAAAUAAUUAGUAGUAAAUUAUAAAAAAGGUUCUAUUUAGAAGUUUUAGUAAAUUAUAAGAAAAACGUUAUAUUUGGAAGUUUUGAUAUCUAGUGGAUGAGGAAUUUGAAUUCUUACUUUUAGUGAAGAAUCCACCCUUAAUUUUACGGAAUUUCAAUUUCCAUAAAAAGUAAAUUCCACUAUUCUAUUUAUAGCCAACCUAACAAUGUAAAAAGGCAUGGAGUUCAAUGUCCUUUUCUUUCACCUCACCUGACACCUACAACUAAAUAGAGUUUUUUGGUAUAAAAAGAACAUUUUUUAAGGGCUGUCAUAAGACGUAACCCAUUUGACCAUCAAUUUUUUUUUUUGGGGGGGAUCCCUACGAAUGUAAAAAGAUGAAGCCCCCUCUAGGGUUCUUUUAAUCAAAGGCAUAUAAAGCCCUUAUAAUCGAAUUUCAUUUUUAAUAUGCAUAAUUGAGUCUAUUUUGAAUUACACAACAAAACUCUUUGAAAUUUGGAAUAAAAUAGUUCAAUUUUUUUUUUUGGUCUUUAACUAUCUGGUGUCCGGCGACCACAUUAAGCUUCGACUACUCCAGAUUCGGGCUGGGUGCUAAAAAAGUCCUCCCAACGAGGGCGACUCCCAGGGGACUCGAACUAGAGAGCAAACCCAAUCGAGUUAUCUAAGGGGUUCAGCCGGCGCCAGCUGAACCAACACCUCGUUGGUAAAAUAGUUCAAUUUUAUGUUUAAAGCAAAAUAAAGAAAUCUAACUUUAAAAUUUUAAAUCAAUAGGCCUUUGGCUUAGUAAGAGAAUACUUACUCGAACCCCAUAAAAGUAAUUAUAAGGGUUUAAUUUUUUUUUCCUGAAUUAUAAAAUAAAUGAGUAGAAAUAAUUUUCUCUUUUAUUAAAUGUGAGUGGAGUAAGCGUCUCUCAAAUAUCUUUCUUCCGUUAUGAAAUAAUCGAAUAUAUUUCCUCAAUUAUAAAAUAACUGAGUGAAAGUAGUAUUCUCUUUUAGGAAAUAUAAGUAGGGUAGGCGUAUAUGAAAUACUAAAGAAUGUAAGUAGUAGGGAUGGCAAUGGGGAGGGGAGGGGAGGUGACCAAUCUCCCCGUACCCAUCCCCAAUAUUUUGCGUAUGUCCCCGUCCCCUCCCCAUCCCCGUUAAAAUUAUUUAAGAGAAUCUUCAUCUCCUCCCCGAAUAAUAACAGGGGAUCCUUGAGGGUCCCCAAUCCCCGAAUAACUAAUACAUUUUUUUGUUUUCGAUUUUGAGUUAAUCAUAUUAAAAUAAAAAAUUCAAAUAAAAGUAAAGUUUGAAAUAUAUCUUAUAUUAAUAUCCAUUACAAAAGUCACAUACAUUAAAUUAGUAAGGAACGCAGCAUGCAAGAGAUACAAACUAUCACGAACAAAUUAAUAGCCUAAUACAAAAUUGUUACAAAUAAAAUCAAAUUUAGAUUCGAAAUUAAUUUUUCAAUGGUGGCGUGGGCACUUUAUAAAUGUGGACUAUUCCCUUUACAACACAAUAGUUAAGUCGAAGCAAAUCAAGAGCAAAUAUUAGAUUAGAUUAGAUAUUAAAAUUGUGAUUUGUUGUGGGCAAUUAUAACAUCUAAAAAUAAAUAAAAAAUAGAUUUAAGAUAAAUAAAAAAUAGAUUUAAGUUUAAAAUAUUCAAUGAAUAUUAA